CGAGAGCGCAAAGGCCUCGCAAUCAGGAUUUCCGAGCGUCAGAUCACUGGCUGACCCGAUUCAAAGAAAGAAAAAGAAUAAGCCAUCGAAGAAAGAAUAAGGACACGCGAACCCUCCCCGACAACGCUAUGGAAAUAGCGGCCGUCUAUCGUAGGGAAACGUCUCAAAUCAUCCAAAAUGGAAAUUUCCAUGUGAUCAUCAACAUGGAUGAAACAUUUGUCAACUUUGACAUGGUGCCGAAAACCACAAUGGCUACAACAGGAUCACAUUCGAUCGACAUCAGAUCCUCAAGAGGGAACGGGAAGAUUGGAUGCACGGUAACCUUGGCCGUCUCCAGCGAUGGACGAAAACUACCAGCUGAGGUCAACUUUAGGGGCUUGGAUGCUGAAGGCGAAGUUAUUGCAGAACUGCGAGCCCAUGCUCCCCAGAACGUGCGAGUUACAGGUACUCCGAAUGGCUGGGCAAGACAUCAGUCAUUGAUCGAAUGGUUGCAAGCCAUUGUUGUGCCAUUUAUUGCCGGAGCAACCUUUCUCCUCAUCUUGGAUCGCUACCCUGCCCAUAGACAUCAUCUGUUUACGGAGGAAAUUCCGCGGCAAAAUGGACAGGAUUCGUUCAUUCCUGGACGAUGCACUUCAAUUUUGCAACCUUUGGACUUAACUGUAAAUCGCAGUUUUAAAUGUCAUCUCAGAUUGGUGUGGAAAGCCUGGAAGAUUGGACAUACCGAA
This is a long non-coding RNA of Lineus longissimus, 725 nucleotides long. RefSeq lists it as uncharacterized. Lineage: Eukaryota; Metazoa; Nemertea; Pilidiophora; Heteronemertea; Lineidae. The transcript has 3 exons. The record is from RefSeq and is a predicted model, not a curated record.